AAGAGAGAAGAGCUCCAGGGUUUACAGAGUGUUGCGAGCGGCUGGGAAAUUGAAGAGAGAGAAAGGCUACCGAAAAUAACGCUUCUUUUUCUUUUUUUUCCGUUUAAAGUUAACCUAGGUGGUCUGUUUCGGGCCUUCCAGAUUUGGCCCGUUAAUCCCUAUCAGCACCCCCCCCCCAUACAAUUGGGUUGUCCCUUUUAGGCCCAUGCUGAUUGUUUUAGAAUUUAAUUAGAU
Molecule: long non-coding RNA, 234 nt
Filed under: Lathyrus oleraceus (garden pea)
Lineage: Eukaryota; Viridiplantae; Streptophyta; Magnoliopsida; Fabales; Fabaceae
Description: Pisum sativum (pea) long non-coding RNA (PSAT_LNC037571)
Source: RNAcentral